Molecule: long non-coding RNA, 1932 nt
Organism: Monomorium pharaonis (pharaoh ant)
Lineage: Eukaryota; Metazoa; Arthropoda; Insecta; Hymenoptera; Formicidae
Exons: 8
Source: RefSeq, a predicted model, not a curated record
UUAAUAAAAAUGUAUUUUUUUAUUUACAAUAAUUUUUCCAGUCGGUUUUGGAAACAUUAAUUCCGUCGCGACGAAACUAACCUUCGGACGAAACUAACCUUGAAAAUACCCCCCUGUUUUGAUUUUACUUGGAAGGAGGUAGUUCAAUAUUGCAGGUUUAAUUAAAUAAGAAAGAAUGGGAUGCGACGACGAAACGCAUAAUAUCCAGUUUAAAAAGAAGAAGAAGACGAAACCUUUAAGGAAACGCGAAGCUUCUCGGUUUGAGCGAGGGAGAGAAAAUGUCCAAGUAGAAAGUCGAAGAAACAAAGAUUAUUCAGAAAUUCUAUGAGAGACCAGCUGGCGUCGAUAUUGUUGGUUUGGCUCUCGGAGAAAGCGUUGUAUCUGAUGUGUUGUGGUCGGAUCCCUUUAAUAUGAAAACCGGAGGAAAAUAUGACUAUGCUGAAGAAUAUAAAAUAUAAGCUGAAUGACUCGUACGACACCAGCAGUAGAACUCAAUUUAAUAUGGAGACCAAUAAAUGAAGAAAUGGUCAAUUAUGUAGAAGAAUUGUCGAAGUGCAAGAGUAAAAAUGAUGAUGCAGUGAAUAGUACGAAUAAUGAUAAUAGACCGUAUUGCUUGCCACAGGAAACAGCAUUGCGUGUAGUACUAGAUACAAGUUAAGCGAGAAAAUUUGAGGAGUGAUUUUGGUCUAGCAGCAGGAAUGUCGGGCGAAUUACCUUGUUAACAGUCACUUAGUAGCUAGGAAGAAGGCCAGUGUAGCCACAGUAUCGCCCAAUGUAUCACACAGGAUAUGACAGUAUACAGAACACUGAGGCAGCAAAAUUCUAUUUCCAGAUGUAUGAUUUGCAAAAGGCUAUCUUUCAGCUCCAAAUUGCUGAAAUGAGAGAUCAAAAACCUAGAUACGUACUGACUCGGGGGAAGAAAAUAACACGCGACUGAGUUAUUCAAACAUCCAAAGUACAAUAAAUUAUGCAACAAGCGAUAACGAGACGGCAUCUAGACAGCGUUUGACGGACAUAAAGGAAAGGGAGGAAGAGGUGGAGCCAGUUUCUUCCGAAAUUUUUGAUAAUGAAAAUAUUCUGAGCGAAGAUUAAGCACAAAAUCGUCACAUUCUUUUCAAUUAAAACAAUGAAGAACAAGACUAAUAUGGCCUAUAAUACCGAGUAUUCUAUUUUUCUUUCUCCUCUUUCAAGUGAUUUGUGGUAACGAACCACGUAGUAAUUCAUGCUUGUUAAAAUCAGUGAUUAAACAAGCUAAUCGACUAUGUUAUUAAGAGAUAUCGUCAGAUGAAGAAAGCGACUUCUCACCCUAUGUGAUUUUCUUGUUCGCUUAAUCUAGCUGUAUCAUUAAAAUAAGUAACAAGAUUAAGUGUAUAUUGUAAUGUAUGCCAAUUAUGGAAAGGCUGAAUAUAAUUGCAGAGUUUGUUUCACCUUUUAAAUGUUGUCACUUUGCAACUGUAAGUACUGCGAUUGAGAUUUCUUGAUCCCUUGUUAGUUGGUAGUAGCAACUGUCAUUUCGUAAUCAUUCUACAUGCAUGAUGGAAAAGGUGCGAUUGCGUACUCAAUGCCAAUGUAAUUAAUCGCUGUAUUGCAACUGAUUUCUUCCGUUCGAUAUUUUAAUUCUGGAUAACAGAUUUGAUUAUCAGGAUAUACCACUUCUGCAAUUUCGGUUGUAUACUUCGUCUUGCUUUACUGACUGAAUGCACAAACUAGAGUACCGCUAUCUUUGACUACAGGUUAUUUACAAUUUGUAGUAAUUUAUAAUAAUUUAUAACAUGUAUUUUACAUGUUAAUUAUAACAUCUUAUUUUUAAAACAUGUAUUUUAAGUAUUUUUUUGUAAAUAAAUAUAUACGGAUUAAAAUUAAACAAUGUAAAUCUAUGUACCUUUGUAAGAUCAUUUGCUGUGCACUCAAUAAAAAUAUUUUUUGAAUUAA